UUUUUUCUUUUUUCUUUUUUUGUCCUUUUGCCUUUUCUAGGGCCGCUCCUGCAGCAUAUGGAAGUGCCCAGGCUAGGGGUCUAAUCGGAGCCGUAGCCACCAGCCUACACCAGAGCCACAGCAACUCGGGAUCCUAGCCGCGUCUGCAACCUACACCACAGCUCACGGCAACGCCGGAUCCUCAACCCACUGAGCAAGAAGUAGCUCGACACUAGAAGCCAAACCUCCCCCAAGGCACCCAAGUCUCCAGUGUUGCACAGGUCGGAAGGGACCCCUUCCCCUCUUCACAGAGGCCGUCACUCCCCAUGUACAACUCAGACGCAGACCCGCAACGGCCCGAGACGCCCCUGGGUGCUCAGCACACACCUGCUGUCUGUCAUCUGCUUCUUAUUCGUAUCAGACCUCAUUCUCAUCCAUCUCAGGUCCUGGGCCCCAUUCCCAAACACACACUAGCCCCAGGUAUUUAGGGGACUAACAGGUCUUUAUCAACCUCACUUCCUGGGCUCACUUUGGCAGCACAUACACCAAAACUGGAAUGAUGUAGAGAAGGACAGCGUGGCCCCUGCGCAAGGAUGACACACAAAUUCGUGAAGCUUUCCAUGUUUUCUGCAAACGAUAAUAUUUAGAAUGGAUGGGCAAUGAGUCCUACUGUGUCCAGUCUCUUGGGAUAGAACAUGAUGGGCAAUGAUAUGAAGACAUGUGUGUGUGUGUGUUUAUGUGUGUGUGUAUGUGUGUGCGCGUGUAUAUGCAUUGUGUAUAUGUGUAAUUGUGUGUACAUGUGUGUGCACAUGUGUGUGCAUGUGUACAUGUGUAUGUACAUUGUGUGUGUGCAUGUGUGUAUACGUGUGUGCAUGUGUGUAUGUGUGUGCGUGUGUGUAAAUGUGUAUGUUUAUAUGUGUGUACAUGUGUGUGCGUGUAUAUGUGUUGUGUGUGUAUAAAUGUGUGUACAUGUGUGUACGUGUGUGCAUUGUGUACGUGUGUAUAUAUGUUGUGUAUGUAUACAUGUGUGUGCAUGUGUGUAUAUGUGUGUGUGAAUGUGUAUGUGUAAAUGUGUAUGUUUUUAUAUGUGUACACGUGUGUGUAUGUGUGUGUGUGUGUAUAUAUGUGUAU
RNAcentral lists this long non-coding RNA (1110 nucleotides) under Sus scrofa (pig). The record is from RNAcentral. Lineage: Eukaryota; Metazoa; Chordata; Mammalia; Artiodactyla; Suidae.